Molecule: ribosomal RNA, 497 nt
Filed under: uncultured bacterium
Lineage: Bacteria
Description: partial 16S ribosomal RNA
Rfam family: Bacterial small subunit ribosomal RNA
Source: RNAcentral
GAUGAACGCUGGCGGCGUGCCUAGUACAUGCAAGUCGAGCGAACGGACGAGAAGCUUGCUUCUCUGAUGUUAGCGGCGGACGGGUGAGUAACACGUGGAUAACCUACCUAUAAGACUGGGAUAACUUCGGGAAACCGGAGCUAAUACCGGAUAAUAUUUUGAACCGCAUGGUUCAAAAGUGAAUGACGGUCUUGCUGUCACUUAUAGAUGGAUCCGCGCUGCAUUAGCGAGUUGGUAAGGUAACGGCUUACCAAGGCAACGAUGCAUAGCCGACCUGAGAGGGUGAUCGGCCACACUGGAACUGAGACACGGUCCAGACUCCUACGGGAGGCAGCAGUAGGGAAUCUUCCGCAAUGGGCGGAAGCCUGACGGAGCAACGCCGCGUGAGUGAUGAAGGUCUUCGGAUCGUAAAACUCUGUUAUUAGGGAAGAACAUUUGUGUAAGUAACUGUGCACAUCUUGACGGUACCUAAUCAGAAAGCCACGGCUAACUACGUG